GACGAACGCUGGCGGCGUGCCUAAUACAUGCAAGUUGAGCGAUGAAGAUUGGUGCUUGCACCAAUUUGAAGAGCAGCGAACGGGUGAGUAACGCGUGGGAAAUCUGCCUUUGAGCGGGGGACAACAUUUGGAAACGAAUGCUAAUACCGCAUAAUAACUUUAAACAUAAGUUUUAAGUUUGAAAGAUGCAAUUGCAUCACUCAAAGAUGAUCCCGCGUUGUAUUAGCUAGUUGGUGAGGUAAAGGCUCACCAAGGCGAUGAUACAUAGCCGACCUGAGAGGGUGAUCGGCCACAUUGGGACUGAGACACGGCCCAAACUCCUACGGGAGGCAGCAGUAGGGAAUCUUCGGCAAUGGACGAAAGUCUGACCGAGCAACGCCGCGUGAGUGAAGAAGGUUUUCGGAUCGUAAAACUCUGUUGGUAGAGAAGAACGUUGGUGAGAGUGGAAAGCUCAUCAAGUGACGGUAACUACCCAGAAAGGGACGGCUAACUACGU
RNAcentral lists this ribosomal RNA (496 nucleotides) under uncultured bacterium. Its description in RNAcentral is "partial 16S ribosomal RNA". It matches the Rfam family "Bacterial small subunit ribosomal RNA", at positions 28 to 506 of the family's 1533-position model. The record is from RNAcentral.